This 349-nucleotide ribosomal RNA is filed under the name uncultured Peritrichia. RNAcentral's name for it is "eukaryotic LSU rRNA". It matches the Rfam family "Eukaryotic large subunit ribosomal RNA", at positions 1 to 341 of the family's 3401-position model. Lineage: Eukaryota; Ciliophora; Oligohymenophorea. The record is from RNAcentral.
AUCCAAUUAUGGCACCUGAAAUAAGCAAGGGUACCCGCUGAACUUAAGCAUAUCAGUAAGCGGAGGAAAAGAAAGUAACAACGAUUACCUUAGUAGCGGCGAGUGAAUAGGUAAAAGCCCAAGAUGUUAAUCUGCUAUAAAGUAGUAGAAUUGUAAUCUAUAGAGUAGCUCGGAAGGUCAAGACUCAUCAUAAGUUCCUUGGAAUAGGACGCCAGAGAAGGUGAAAGCCCUGUCUUCGGAUGAGUCGAGGCGAUACGAGAUAUUUCUAAGAGUCGGGUAGUUUGGGAAUGCUGCCCUAAUUGGGAGGUAAACUUCUCCUAAGGCUAAAUAUUUAUAGGAAACCGAUAGC